This 439-nucleotide ribosomal RNA is filed under the name uncultured bacterium. Its description in RNAcentral is "partial 16S ribosomal RNA". It matches the Rfam family "Bacterial small subunit ribosomal RNA", at positions 339 to 795 of the family's 1533-position model. The record is from RNAcentral.
CUACGGGUUGCUGCAGUGGGGAAUAUUGCACAAUGGAGGAAACUCUGAUGCAGCAACGCCGCGUGGAGGAUGACACUUUUCGGAGCGUAAACUCCUUUUAUAUAGGAAGAAGAUGACGGUACUAUAUGAAUAAGCGCCGGCUAACUCCGUGCCAGCAGCCGCGGUAAUACGGAGGGCGCAAGCGUUACUCGGAAUCACUGGGCGUAAAGAGCGUGUAGGCGGAUUAAAAAGUCAGAAGUGAAAUCCUAUAGCUUAACUAUAGAACUGCUUCUGAAACUCUUAAUCUAGAAUAUGGGAGAGGUAGAUGGAAUUGCUGGUGUAGGGGUAAAAUCCGUAGAGAUCAGAAGGAAUACCGAUUGCGAAGGCGAUCUACUAGAACAUUAUUGACGCUGAGACGCGAAAGCGUGGGGAGCAAAUAGGAUUAGAUACCCCGGUAGUC